AUGCUCAGACACUUUACAUGAUAAAAAGUUAAAUGAAAUAAAAACUGAAAAAGAGAAAAUAGCUGUCUAAUAAGCCUUACUGUAUAGUACUCUGUUUCUAAAUAGUAAAGAGUUUUUCACCUACACAUCACCAACUCUCAAAAUAGCAGCUUGAGAUAGAAAGUGACAUUUAAGCUCUGUCUACAGGAAGCCAAAAACCUCCUGGUUGAUUUGAUUGAUUCAGACCAAGAGCUAGUUGGUUUAGAGGAGGAAAAAAGCAUCAGACUCACUUUUCUGAGUUUACUGAACAGCACCUUGUUUGGUGCUUAUGCGCAUGAUAAGUGCUGGUCAAUAAAUCAGUGAAUUUAACAUUUGUUCUGGCACCUUCAUAGAGACAUAAUUUUUACUGUCAGCAAUAUAUGAUAACUCAGAAACAAAGGUAGCUCUAGGCAAAAAAAGGCAACAUUUAUUUUCCAAAUAUUCAUGUGUGAUGGACAUCACUGUAAACACAGCCUAGGUGGAUACCAAGAACUAGAUCAUGAAAGUGUCAUUAGAUAAAGUUUUGUCAAAAUUCUACCAUUACUUAUUACAACAUAUAUUUUUGCUCAAUUGGUAUUUCAAUGAUUUAUAUACUUUAAAUAUAUACAUAUAUAUUUAUAUGUAAAACUACUGUAAAGAUCCUAAUAUAUAGAACCCUUUAAGAUUUACAAAGCGUACCCAUAUUGUGGCAUAUCCUGUCACCUCACUUUGUGAGUCAGACAAAACAGGUGACAUUAUUUUUGUUUUUCCGGAGGGGAGCAGGCUCUGGGAAGCGUCCCUGGGCUGUCAGGCCAGAAGCCGAGGAAUGGGGACAGGAUGAAGGCGUCCCAGCUCCAGGCCCAGUGAUCUCUGUCACCCUUGGCUGUGUCUCAUGGGGAGAUAUAGAAUAUAUCCUUGUGGUUUCUACUUGGAUUAUAGUGGAGGGAAGAAACCUUCCCUUCAGCUAAUCUCUCAUAUUUAAAUCAUGUCAGUAAACUGGUGCUUCCUUUUAAUGACUAUAUAUUAUAAACAGUCAAUAUUUGGGGUAUAGUAAUGCUCCAUUAGUAUCACAUUCUGUUUGUUUGCUGAAAUCCAGAAGUUAAGAUUUGUGAGAAUGCUAAAUGCUCUUCUCAACAUUAUUAAAUCCUUUGAUGUUGAAAAAGAGUAUGUCUGAAAGUAUAUUAAAGUUACAUCAUAACUUUAUAAUAUCAAUUAAUGCAAGGCCCAUCGCUCUGGCCCAUCAUUUGGCAAAUGGCUUUAUUCCUUCAGGGUUUUCUUCCAGGACUUCUGUUCCUCCUCAGCGGAGUCAGUCCACUUAUUUAUCACACCCUCUCGCUGCUAGAAUCCAUUUUCUAGCCUAUUUUAUGUGCAAAGAAAACCAUCCACAAUGGCUUAUCUGUGACUCUCUCACCUCCAGUCAGUAACUAUUUCCAUCAAACUAGUUUGAACCAACUUUUGGAAGCACCCCAUUCAUUCCCUGCCUUUGCAUAUUUUCUGUAUCUUUUUUAAACUUCCCAAAUGACUCACUUUUGCAUUUGUUUUGAAUUAAAGGUUCCUCUUACGGUUUCUUCCUGGGCAUUCCCUUCGGAGCUAGAUAGAAACUUGUUUGCACAGCAGCACGUCCAGCUGAGAAGAGAAAUGCUGACACUCGCUCUUUACCAGGAGGUUAAAUGGGUUAAUCAGGAUGCAGUUCAACAGCUCCAAUAGGUCCACACUUCAGGGACCACAGAACUUAAUAUUCUACUAUGCUGUCUGCUUCAGCAAUAUGAACAAACAAAAUCGUCAAACACUGUCCCAGGAUAAAAUGAAUGUACUUCCAAAAUCUUCUCUGACUCGCUGCCGACAGCUUGAUCCCAGUGGACAGUGUGACUACAGCGUCCCACCAAGGUGUUUUCCCGCUUUCCCUCAUGCAGAAUCAUCAGACUAAGAGUGGCCUGAAACAUCACUUCACAAACACAACCUGAGGAAGCCAGAAGAGGAAACUAGAGAUGUUUGGGGUGGGAACAGUGCCCUGUGGGCCGCCGCAGCCAGCUGUGUGUGACGGACUCUUUCAUUUGCUCACAACGUCUCAUUCCCCUCUACCCUUACCAUCUUUCCUUUUGAUGCUACCUCUUUCCUCACCCCACUGACCCUGGACUUGCCUGGCCCGUGGAACAUGAGCAGAUAAGUACGCUGUGUCCUGGCAGAAAAUAAUGAUGUCUUUGUGUGGUACGGCUCCGACCCUCGGCUUGCAUGCUCUGAACAGCGGCCGCUGCAGUAACCUGGCGGCAGAAUGGGAAGCCACAGAGCCCAGCCGCGCUCUCAGCUACAGCCUUCAUGGGAUGUGAGCUACAAACCAGUGCUUGAAGUCGCACUGAGCUCGGCCAUUAUUCGUCCUUCUGCCUACUUCUCGCUUCACCGUAAGGCUGUCUCCUCCCUCGGCCCCCACCCUGCCCACCGCAGCAUCUUCCUGGAUUUGCAGUGCACACUGGACACCUUCUGCUAACUGGCAGGCUCGCCAGUGGUUGCCGAGGGCCCGGUCCUCAGAUGCAAGCCGUCUCUUCCCUGGAGACGGACUUUUGGGAUAAGAAAAUGGAAAAGGCGCUUUGGGAACAUUACCUGAAUAUCUAAAUGGAGACUAAUGACCGAGAACGUGAAGGGGUGCUGACAAGCCCCAGAGAGCCCCCUUUCUGGAGACGAGCCUGCCUCUCGCAGCGCGACACCCAGCGGCAGAUAAAGUGGAGGCCAGUCAUCCGCAGUCGGCCUGCCCAUGCGCCUUCCACAUGCAGUUCAGGAGCAGCCUCUUGGCCCUCCGCUGAUCCCAUUACAUUGACAACAGCCGUUCCAGCUG
Molecule: non-coding RNA, 2827 nt
Organism: Manis javanica (Malayan pangolin)
Lineage: Eukaryota; Metazoa; Chordata; Mammalia; Pholidota; Manidae
Source: RefSeq, a predicted model, not a curated record